This is a long non-coding RNA of Coregonus clupeaformis (lake whitefish), 411 nucleotides long. RefSeq lists it as uncharacterized. The transcript has 4 exons. The record is from RefSeq and is a predicted model, not a curated record. NCBI's taxonomy places the organism in Eukaryota, Metazoa, Chordata, Actinopteri, Salmoniformes, Salmonidae.
AACAAGGUACAUAAUGUUUCAAGUCUGAUAAACAAGCCUACUUUCUCAAAGUUCUGUUCCUACCAACUGUAUGGGAUGAACAGGAAAAUCUGUUAAGUGUGUACUAUAAAUGUGGUAACAGUUUGACAUCUGUGAUAUUCUCUGAAGUUGCAGAUGCAGAGGACUUGAGGCCAUGUGCCACCUCAAGCCAGAGCGACAUUAGUCCAAGUGGCAGCCAGGAAGAAGCUGGCCAAGACAGAGCAUCAGAAUCAGACCAAGAGCUGCCAUCCCUGCUUGAUGAUCCUGUGGCUUCUGAGAUGCCUGCUGGAUACAUUAAAGAUCUUCAAGCAGUGGAGAUGAGGAUAAUGGUGAAACUGGAGAUGAUCCGUACAGAGUUCAGGACUGCUCUGAACCAAGUUAUGGAGGCCAUAG